UACGGAGGGUGCGAGCGUUAAUCGGAAUUACUGGGCGUAAAGCGCACGCAGGCGGUUUGUUAAGCUAGAUGUGAAAGCCCCGGGCUCAACCUGGGAUGGUCAUUUAGAACUGGCAGACUAGAGUCUUGGAGAGGGGAGUGGAAUUCCAGGUGUAGCGGUGAAAUGCGUAGAUAUCUGGAGGAACAUCAGUGGCGAAGGCGACUCCCUGGCCAAAGACUGACGCUCAUGUGCGAAAGUGUAGGUAGCGAACAGG
This 253-nucleotide ribosomal RNA is filed under the name uncultured bacterium. RNAcentral's name for it is "partial 16S ribosomal RNA". It matches the Rfam family "Bacterial small subunit ribosomal RNA", at positions 524 to 776 of the family's 1533-position model. The record is from RNAcentral.